AUGGAGAAAGAGAGCCUCAAAAGGACCCACUGUGGAAAGUUUUCCAUUACCACCCAUGUAAAAACACCGCACCAAGAUUCACCUCUCAGCACUGGAUUACAGAGUAACAAAUGUGAGGACAGUGGCAGUAAGAGUCAGAUCUCCCAGAGAUUCUGCAGCAAAGAACAACCAAAAGCUUGUUCAACAUCAAAGUCGACAUGUUCCCAAAGAGUAAACUCAGAAUCCUUUCAAGAUGAGCAAGAUACCACGACAGGAAAGACUUACCUGAUCUGUAACACAGACCCUGCAACACCCUCAGUCCACCUCCGUUUCCUCAGGAUUCCUGGAAUCCAAUCCUUGUGUGACGGGAAUAGCAUGGAAGAAACGGAAUCUAAGAUUUUAAACUCGGCUUUGGAUCAUGCCUUAAAGACAGCAACCACAUUGAAAAAAACCACUGACCAAAUGAUUAAAUCCAUUGGAGAAGACCUCGCCAAAGCACAGCGAUGGAGGCACCAACUAAAACACUGCUAGCGCCAGGCAAGGGACCAAGGGUUAAAAUGUUUGGUCUUCUUCUCCAAAGUAUUUUACUUAAGGCACAAUGUAGGAAAAUGGCCCUCUAGAGAAAACACUAAAACUGUGAGAAUGAACCACACCAAGUGAUUAAAUGAAACAAAACAAAAACAAAAAACAAACAGCCCUCUGGCAUUUAUGUAUUUAUGUGAAAUAAAUCUAUGUUCUUCCUAAUUCACAAUAAAAUAACAACAAUAAAACAAAU
RNAcentral lists this long non-coding RNA (754 nucleotides) under Cricetulus griseus (Chinese hamster). RNAcentral's name for it is "lncRNA (ENSCGRG00000024918.1)". The record is from RNAcentral. Lineage: Eukaryota; Metazoa; Chordata; Mammalia; Rodentia; Cricetidae.